AAUUUCUGAAACAAGCCUUUAGACUGAUAUGAUGUAGGUGCUUUGAACUGUCUUCAAGCGUAUCAUCUGCGAGCAGCACCAAAUUAUAGGUUGAUUUUGUGCAAUUGUGGGGAAAGAUCAAAUGUAGGUACACCAUCUUCUUAACAUCCUUGGAAUAGCCCCCGUGCUCCACCGUACUUCUACCGUCGUCAUCUUCUUCUCCCUCCUUUGUUCGUCCUCCACUCCUUGACUAGAACGAACGCCGUGCUCCACUGGAUCCCAUCGGCAUCAUUGUCGUCAUCUUCAUCUCUUCCUCUCCGGCACCAUCAUCUCAACAUCGAUGUCAAGUCUUUGAGACAACUGCACGGCUCCGCGGCUUCUUCACCCGCGACAACGUGGAGGCGAGGUCGUCGUUCAUCCCGGCAUCCUAAGCUCCAUCAUUUGCUGGCCUCCCGUGUCCGACCAAUGAGGCGAGCCAAAACUUUCUUAUGAAAAAUACGAAUAUAGCUGAGAUUCCAUGGGUCUAUAAUCGAAAUGUCUGCUCAAAUAUCUUAGUUGCAAUAUUUGCAGCAUGAAAUCUAUAUAUAUACAUAUGUAAGCAUCAAAUGUUUGUUGAAAUGUUUCUUAGAAUUAUCUUUUUUGGUUGAUAUGUUUGUAAGACCAGCUUAUCUAAAUGAGUAUAAUGUAUUUGCUGAAA
Phoenix dactylifera (date palm) is the source of this 676-nucleotide non-coding RNA. The record is from RefSeq and is a predicted model, not a curated record. NCBI's taxonomy places the organism in Eukaryota, Viridiplantae, Streptophyta, Magnoliopsida, Arecales, Arecaceae.